CCCUUAGAUGUUCUGGGCCGCACGCGCGCUACACUGCUUUGUUCAACAAGUUUGAUUUCCCUGCUUUCGAAAGGGGUGGGUAAUCUUUUAAACGCAAAGCGUGCUUGGGAUCGAUUUUUGCAAUUUUAAAUCGUCAACGAGGAAUCCCUUGUAUUUGCAAGUCAUCAACUUGCAGAGAAUACCGUCCCUGCUCUUUGUACACACCGCCCGUCGCUCCUACCGAUUGAAUGGUCCGGUGAAGCGUUCGGACCGUGGCCUUUGGACGGUUCGCCGUCUGUUGGCUGCGGGAAGUUCGUUAAACCUUAUCAUUUAGAGGAAGGAGAAGUCGUAACA
This 333-nucleotide ribosomal RNA is filed under the name uncultured eukaryote. RNAcentral's name for it is "partial 18S ribosomal RNA". It matches the Rfam family "Eukaryotic small subunit ribosomal RNA", at positions 1470 to 1796 of the family's 1831-position model. The record is from RNAcentral.